UGGUGGAAGGCCUAAGAAGCGUCCAAAUGUUAGUGCACCCACUAAAUCUAUUACAAGAGGAGGUUUUUCUGGUGCUCAAGGUGGGAGAUUGAAUAACCCUCGAUCAAAUCCAACUCUUAGCCGAGGUUCAAAUGUACAGGUGAAGCCUACAUGUCAAACUUGCGGAAGGCAACAUUUUGGGCAAUGUAGAGCUCAAACGGGAGGAUGUUAUUUGUGUGGGGAACAAGGCCAUUUCAUUAGAGACUGUCCCAACAAAAGGGAAAAUGUACAGGCUGUAUCUGAACCAAGUGUUCAGAAUGUAGAAGUGAAAGGAGUUGGUACAUCUUUUGGAAGAGGUAGAGGCAAGAAGGGUACAGGUAGCACUGGGGGAGGCAUUGGAAGAUCACAGGCUCAAAGUUCAAAUCCACCAACCCAGGCACGAGUUUUUGCAUUAACGAGAGGAGAGGCAGAAGUUGCACCUGAGGUUAUAACGGGUAAAGUUCUCUUAUAUCAAUUAGAUGCGUAUGCUCUUAUCGACCCUGGUUCAACACAUUCAUUCAUACCAUCUAAAAUGACAUCUCACUUACAUAGAAGUCAUGAAAUACUAGAUCUCAAAGUAAAUGUUCAUACACCACUAGGAGAAGUGGAAGUAGUAGUUCAAAUAUAUAGAGACUGUCCUAUCGAAAUAGGAAAUACGGAAUUAAAAGCAGACUUGAUAGUAUUGCCUUUUCAAGAGUUUGAUAUCAUACUAGGCAUGGAUUGGUUGACAAGACAUCAUGCUAAAGUUGAUUGUUACGCUAAAGAAGUUACGAUCGAGUCACCAGGACAAGGGAGAGUCGUAUUUCAAGGAGAAUGUAGGAUGAUAUUUAGUUGUUUAAUUUCGGCUAUGAGUGCUUUUAAGAUGAUUAGAAAGGGCUGUGAAGCGUAUUUAGCACACGUGGUAGACCCGAACACUAACUCAACUAAACUUGAGACUAUUCCAAUAGUUCGAGAAUUCCCAGAUGUGUUUCCAGAUGAUUUGCCAGGAAUGCCGCCGGAUAGAGACAUAGAGUUUAGUAUUGAGACAGUUCCUGGUAGUACCCCUAUUUCUAUUCCUCCUUACCGAAUGGCACCCGUAGAGUUAAAAGAGUUAAAGAAGCAGUUGAUAGAAUUAUUGGAAAAAGGUUUUAUCCGCCCAAGUGUUUCACCAUGGGGAGCGCCAGUAUUAUUUGUCAAAAAGAAGGAUGGAACUAUGAGGCUAUGUAUCGAUUAUCGAAAAUUAAAUCAAGUCACGGUUAAGAACAAAUAUCCAUUACCAAGAAUAGAUGACUUAUUUGAUCAAUUACAAGGGGCUCAAGUGUUUUCAAAGAUUGAUUUGAGAUCAGGAUAUCAUCAAUUGAAGAUUGCCAAGGAAGAUAUCCCAAAAACUGCUUUCCGAACUAGAUAUGGUCACUUUGAAUUUCUAGUUAUGCCGUUUGGGUUAACAAAUGCUCCAGCUGUGUUUAUGGCACUUAUGAACAAGGUGUUUCAACCUUUUCUGGAUAAAUUUGUUAUAGUAUUCAUCGAUGACAUAUUGGUAUAUUCAAAGAGUAAAUCUGAGCAUGAAGAGCAUUUAAGAACAGCUUUACAAAUCUUAAGAGAAAACCAAUUAUAUGCUAAGCUGAGUAAAUGUGAGUUUUGGUUGGACCAUGUCGUAUUCCUAGGACAUGUUAUUUCUAGUAAAGGAAUUGAAGUGGACCCAAAGAAAAUAGAGGCUAAAUGGAAUUGGGAAGUACCCAAGAAUGUUACAGAAGUGAGGAGUUUCUUAGGAAUGGCUGGUUAUUACAGACGUUUUGUUGAAGGAUUUUCUAAGAUUGCCGGACCAAUGACCAAAUUACUCAGAAAGAAUGUUCCUUUUCAAUGGACUGAAGAAGCUCAACAAAGUUUUGAUGAAUUAAAGCGAAGAUUGACAUCCGCUCCAGUGUUGACUACACCAUCAGGACAAGGUGGUUUUGUAGUAUAUAGUGAUGCGUCACAACAAGGCUUAGGGUGUGUCCUUAUGCAACAUGAAAAAGUUAUAGUUUAUGCUUCAAGACAGCUCAGACCGCAUGAAAAGUCAUAUCAUGUACAUGAUCUAGAAUUGGCAGCAAUUGUUUUUGCAUUGAAAAUUUGGAGGCAUUACUUAUACGGGGAGACAUUUCAGAUUUUUACAGACCAUAAGAGUCUAAAGUAUUUAAUGAGUCAGAAAGAGUUGAAUAUGAGACAGAGAAGAUGGGUGGAACUUUUAAAGGAUUAUGAUUGUACGUUAGAAUAUCACCCAGGAAAGGCCAAUAUAGUGGCAGACGCUUUAAGUCGGAAAUGUAGUAGCGUAGCAAAUCUUCAAGGAUCGACGUUCCCAUCUUUAGUUGAAUUAAGAAAGAUGAAUAUUGGGUUAGAGGUUGACACCUGUGGAGUUUUAUUGGCUACACUAAAUAUCCGACCGGUGUUGAAGGAAAGGAUCCAGAAGGCACAAAUAAAUGAUCCUAAAUUAAGAGACGCAGUCGAGAGAGUAAGACAAGGUCAAGAAACUCAGUUCACGUUAUAUGAGGAUACUUUAAUGUUAGGAAACAGAAUUUGUGUUCCAAAUGACGAAGACUUAAGACGAGAAAUUCUAGAUGAAGCUCAUAAUGCUCCAUAUGCCAUGCAUCCCGGAGCAACAAAAAUGUAUAAUACGAUGAAAUCUCAUUAUUGGUGGUCUGGAAUGAAAAGAGAUGUGGCAGAGUUUACAGCCAAAUGUUUAACGUGUCAACAAGUGAAAGUGGAACAUCAAGCUCCAGCUGGGAAGUUACAUCCGUUGUCGAUUCCUGAGUGGAAGUGGGAAAAGAUCACUAUGGAUUUUGUAACAAAUUUACCCAAGACAAGGAAGGGAAAUGAUGCAAUAUGGAUCAUUGUUGAUCGACUUACCAAAUCAGCUCAUUUUCUACCAAUACGUUGGGGUUGCACACUAGAUCAUUUAGCUCAAAGGUAUGUGAAUGAGAUUGUACGAUUACAUGGAGUACCAAUAUCCAUUGUUUCAGAUAGAGAUCCAAGAUUUACUUCUAGAUUUUGGAAAAGUUUACAAGAAGCAAUGGGUACAAGAUUGAAUUUUAGUACAGCCUUUCAUCCUCAGACUGAUGGGCAAUCUGAAAGAACCAUUCAAACGUUAGAGGAAAUGUUAAGAGCGUGUGUGAUUGAGUUUAAAGGUUCAUGGGAUGAAUAUAUUGCUUUGAUGGAAUUCGCCUACAACAAUCAUUUCCAUAGCAGUAUUGGAAUGGCACCUUAUGAAGCCUUGUAUGGACGGAAGUGCAGAAGUCCCUUGUACUGGGAUAAAGAAGGUACUAUCAUUUUAGAAGGGCCAGAACUUGUCCAGAAUGCAGUAGAUAAGGUAAACAUUGUAAAAGCAAAGCUGAAGGCUACCCAAGAUCGACAGAAAAGUUAUGUGGACCAAAAUAGAAGAGAGAUGGAAUAUCAAGUAGGUGAUAAAGUAUUUCUGAAAGUAUCGCCAUGGAAAGGGGUGAUGAGAUUCAGCAAUAAAGGGAAGUUGAGUCCUAGGUAUAUUGGACCAUAUGAAAUAAUUGAGAAGAUAGGACCACUUGCCUAUAGAUUAGCAUUGCCCCCAGAACUUUCUCAAAUCCAUGAUGUAUUUCAUGUAAGCAUGUUACGAAGAUAUAGGUCAGAUCCUACACACGUUUUGAAGGACCCCGGGAUAGAAAUCAAUGACAAUUUGAGUUACAUUGAAGAACCUGUCAAGAUAAUAGGGCACAAGACCAAACAACUGAGGAAUAGAGAAAUACCGCUAGUCAAAGUACUAUGGAGAAACCACGCAGUGGAAGAAGCCACAUGGGAGACAGAGGAGCAUAUGAGAAGCAAGUACCCUCACCUAUUCGACAAUCCAGGUACAUUUUUGAAUUUUGAGGACAAAAUUCUUUAAAGGGGGGAAGAGUUGUCACACCCUGGUCCCAAACAAAUGCUUAUAUAAUACUUUUGAAUGUAUUAAAAUAGUUUUCGGGAUUUUUAGAUUUAACAAAAAUAUUUUGUUUUAGGAUUUAUAAGGAAUUUGCGAAUAGUAAGGUGACCCUAUAAAGGAGAAAGGACAUGAAGGGGUAAAAAUAAAAGUCUCAGAAUAAUUUUUAGAUAUUUUAUAAAUUACCAGAGCGGAGAAAUAGUGAACAGAAGUACGGUCAGAAUUGUAUGAUUUUGCACCGAACUGUGAUUAUAAAAUCCAGUUAUUAGAAAAUAGGUGAAAAUAGAAAAGACACAAAAUGAGCCAAGAAUUUUCCUAGAGUAUCUAAAUAAAUUGUGGAACUCAUUUAUGAAUUUUCGGAAAUUUUACGAAGCUCAAGGAAGUUAAAAUGAAAAGGAAUAAAGGAGCCGGAUACCCAAGAUUUCCGGACUGCAAAAUGACCUUUAAACUAAACCAGCGGAAUUUCGGAAGGAAUACUGAAGAGAAGGUUAGUACGUUUAUGAUCUUUGGAGUCUCUAGAACAUUCCUAUAUUGAGUUUGAAGAAAAAUCUCGAGAUUAAGAGUGAACAGGGAUCAGUGGAAAAAUAUCAGACCGAUACAUCCCUAAGAAAAAGUGAAAUAUUUUCGGACUCCAAAUGAGCUCAUUUUACAGUCAAAAAUUCCCAAAUAAUAUAUUAGGAAUUAUUAUAUCGUUGGAAUUCGUCAACGAGAUCAAGAAUAGUGAGAUUUAAUUUAAGAUUUCAAGAAAAUGAUUAGAUUAAAAUGAAUAAGCCUUAAAUGAAUCCAUGAAGUCUCUGGACAUACCGUUGGCAAAUUAAAUGUUGCCACGUGUCAAGCAAGCAUUUCACCGCCUGAAUAACUAGAUAAACAUUCAGUUAACAUAAUGAAAAUUGUAGAGUUCAUCCAUUUUAAUGAAGAAAUUCGAAGUGGAAGAACUAUAAAACAGGGAGGAGAAGAAAAUUCAUAGAAAAAGAUUCCUAGCUCGGAUUUUGACGUUCUAUAGCUUGUUUCGAAGAGCUUGACAAGGGCUGCGAUUUGAGUGGUAAGGUUCUUGAUUUCCUCUGCAAUAACAUGUUCAUAAAUGGCUUCGAUUAUAGCUUGUUUAUACUUACAUAAUUCUAUAAGUAUUAAGUUAGCUACAUGAUGGGUUUGUUGUGGAAGCUUGUAAGAUGAAAGUUCUUGACUUGUGUAUGGAACAACAAGGCUGGGUAUAUAGAGUAUGAUGAUAUUAAGUUGAUAUAAUUGCUUGGGUAAGCCUAUAACAUGAGUUUAACCACGGAAACGUUAAGAUUAUAGCCGUUAUGCUGGCCGAUUUACAAGAGACAGCUACUGUUACUGUUCACCUGUGAGUCUUCACUUCGAAUUUAUGAAGUUACUUUAUAUGGUUGGAUAGAUCUUGAUUAGUAGAUCGCGUGAGCGCUUGAAUCAUGCAAAACGGAUUUACGGUUUAGAAAUUAUGGCCAUUUUAGUACAGGACGCGCAGAAUCUUAGUUUCCGUAAGAAAAUGAACUUUGAGGUUACAAUUCGGUUAGUUCAAAGAUGAUAUAAAUCAUGGAAUAAUUUGAGUAAAUACUAGGGACAAAUUGGGAGGUAUAUGAGUUGGUUUCGUGAUAAAAACUCGAAUGGUUUAUAAGUGAAAAAUGUCGGAACCUAAAGAUGUAAAUAGUAACAAUACGUGAGACGAGAAACAGUUAGUACCAGAUCUCUUUAAAAUGAAAGGAUUAACAAUAAGAGUAAUUAGAAGGGACUUUAAGGGUAGGUAACACAUACACAAACUAUGAUAUAGAGUUAUAAAGGAUCUUAAUGAUUAAUUAUGUCCUUUAUAGGUGCACAGAAAGGUGCAGAAGGACCUUAAGGACAGGAAGUUGUGAUUGAGUUGCUGAAGUAAGGUGAGUAUACAUCAACACUACUUAUAUCUAUGUGAUAUGUGAAUUACGUGCUUUUAUAUGCUGAAAGUGAUAUAUUAGAAUAUUGAUUUGACUAUGUGAUUCUAUACAUGACUGAAGUUCUUUGAUGUCAACGUAGUGUGAUGAUAUAUCAAAGUACAUGUAUAUAUGGAAUGUGUAUUGACCUGUGAUUUCACGAACGAUACAUUAACAUAGAGUCUGCAUAUAGAACAGGUCAUAUGCACACCCUACAUUCAUUUGAUAGUGAUAAAUUAAAAAGUCAAAGUGACAGUCACUUGUGUAAUGGCCACCUUUAUAUAUGGAACCUACGGGUAAUUACGGAGCAGACUAUAUGUCAGCCAUAGACGGGGCCGACUUGUGUCGGACAUAGACGGAGCCGAUUUCCAUAGUCGGACAUAGACGGAGCUGGCCAGACACACAUGGAUCCUUUGAGGACAUGUGGAAACACGGGCAUUAUACAGUGAACUGUGCACAAUAGCCAAAGAAAGAGAAACAGAGAUGCAUGCAUGCAUAGAUACAAGUUCUUACUUUCAUGGCAUAUAUGAUUAACAUAUGUCAGUGCUUUAUGAAUAAGUAAAACAUAUAUGUGAUGAUGUUAUACCUUGGUGUAAUUUGGAUGAUGAUAAUAUUAUGAAUGAAAGAUAUUAAUUGCUCUCAUAAAUACGAACAGGAAAUAUAUAUUAAAAUGAAUAUUUUCUUACAAUUGUUUCGAGAACCUUACUUUCUUUUAUUUUCUGGAAGAUUUUACAAAGACGCUACAAGUUAUUUUCGGACAAUCUCAGUAUCUUUUACAAACUAAAGUUGAUGUAUAUUCAUUGAGUUGCGACUCAUGGAAAUCGCUCAAUUUUUCCAGGAUAUGAAUAGUUAGUAGUGUGUUUUAUAUGAGUGCUCAGUGGAGAUUGUAGAUAGUGCCUAAGAGACGGUGGUCCAGCAGGAUGCUCCAGACUCCUCCAUCAGCCGAUGCACAUAUAUGUAGUUUGAGAGAUUGUGUUUAUGUACUCUAGACUUAUCAAGUGUGCAAGAAAUCACGAAGAUAAAUUUAUGUUUAAAUUCUGAAUAUGUGUGGUGAAUAUGGAUGAUGGAAAUGUAUUGAAAUUUUAUGUUGCUUGGUAAAUGUUGUUGAAGUAGUUGAGAUUUUAUGUUCUGGUGAAGAUCAAGAUAUAGCCAAGCAAUAGUUGAUGGUUAUAUUAUCCACUUAUACAGGAAAAGAUAUUUCAUAAUAUUAUUAAAUUACAUGAUUUUGCUAGAAGUGCAUGAAAAUGAUUAUAUGGUACAAUGGUGUUACAUAAAAUGCCAAAGGGG
RNAcentral lists this long non-coding RNA (7128 nucleotides) under Daucus carota (carrot). RNAcentral's name for it is "long non-coding RNA (DCAR_LNC006859)". The record is from RNAcentral. Lineage: Eukaryota; Viridiplantae; Streptophyta; Magnoliopsida; Apiales; Apiaceae.